RNAcentral lists this ribosomal RNA (530 nucleotides) under Epicoccum sp. MLN3. RNAcentral describes it as "eukaryotic LSU rRNA". The stretch from base 190 to 343 matches the Rfam family "5.8S ribosomal RNA". Lineage: Eukaryota; Fungi; Ascomycota; Dothideomycetes; Pleosporales; Didymellaceae. The record is from RNAcentral.
AAAAUGUAACAAGGUUUCCGUAGGUGAACCUGCGGAAGGAUCAUUACCUAGAGUUUGUAGACUUCGGUCUGCUACCUCUUACCCAUGUCUUUUGAGUACCUUCGUUUCCUCGGCGGGUCCGCCCGCCGAUUGGACAACAUUCAAACCCUUUGCAGUUGCAAUCAGCGUCUGAAAAAACAUAAUAGUUACAACUUUCAACAACGGAUCUCUUGGUUCUGGCAUCGAUGAAGAACGCAGCGAAAUGCGAUAAGUAGUGUGAAUUGCAGAAUUCAGUGAAUCAUCGAAUCUUUGAACGCACAUUGCGCCCCUUGGUAUUCCAUGGGGCAUGCCUGUUCGAGCGUCAUUUGUACCUUCAAGCUCUGCUUGGUGUUGGGUGUUUUGUCUCGCCUCUGCGUGUAGACUCGCCUUAAAACAAUUGGCAGCCGGCGUAUUGAUUUCGGAGCGCAGUACAUCUCGCGCUUUGCACUCAUAACGGCGACGUCCAAAAGUACAUUUUUACACUCUGACCUCGGAUCAGGUAGCUGCCCGUA